CCUACGGGAGGCAGCAGUGAGGAAUAUUGGUCAAUGGCCGGAAGGCUGAACCAGCCAUGCCGCGUGAAGGUCAGUGCCCUAUGGGCGUUAAACUUCUUUUGUGCGGGAGCAAUAAUGGUCACGUGUGGCCAGACGAGAGUACCGUACGAAUAAGCAUCGGCUAACUCCGUGCCAGCAGCCGCGGUAAUACGGGGGAUGCAAGCGUUAGCCGGAUUUAUUGGGGUUAAAGGGUGCGUAGGCUGGGAGGUAAGUCAGCGGUGAAAUGCCCCGGCUCAACGGGGUGAAGUGCCAUUGAUACUGGCUUGCUGGAAUGCGGAUGACGUAGGAGGAAUGUGUGGUGUAGCGGUGAAAUGCAUAGAUAUCACACAGAACACCGAUUGCGAAGGCAUCUCACGAAUCCGCGAUUGACGCUGAUGCACGAAAGCGUGGGUAUCAAACAGGAUUAGAUACCCUAGUAGUC
Molecule: ribosomal RNA, 460 nt
Filed under: uncultured bacterium
Lineage: Bacteria
Description: partial 16S ribosomal RNA
Rfam family: Bacterial small subunit ribosomal RNA
Source: RNAcentral